GAAAGAGGCGCAGGCCUCCUGCCUGGGAUCCUCCUAAACUACUCCUGGUCGUCGUUAGCGGGCAGCACGUAGUAGUAGGCACCUCCGGUGUAGUAGGAGUCGUCGUCGACGGUGGCGUCUGGAUCCUGGGCUCCAACAUCUAGUUGCGACAACCAGGUAGAAGGGAUAGGGGGAAAAGAGGGAGAAAGCAACCGUGAGUACUCAUCCAAAGUACUCGCAAGCAAGAAGCUACACUACGUAUGCAUGGGUAUCAAAUGGAAUAAGGGUAUCAUAUAUGGACUGAACUGCAGAAUGCCAGAAUAAGAGGGAGAUAGCUAAUCCUGUCGAAGACUACGCUUCUGGCAGCCUCCGUCUUGCAGCAUGUAGAAGAGAGUAAACUGAAGUCCUCCAAGUAGCACCGUAUAGCAUAAUCCUAACCGAUGAUCCUCUCCUCGUCGCCCUGUGAGAGAGCGAUCACCGGUUGUAUCUGGCACUUGGAAGGGUGUGUUUUAUUUAGUAUCCGGUUCUAGUUGUCAUAAGGUCAAGGUACAACUCCAAGUCGUCCUGUUACCGAAGAUCACGGCUAUUCGAAUAGAUUAACUUCCCUGCAGGGGUGCACCACAUAACCCAACACGCUCGAUCCCAUUUGGCCGGACACACUUUUCUGGGUCAUGCCCGGCCUCGGAAGAUCAACACGUCGCAGCCCCACCUAGGCACAACAGAGAGGUCAGCACGCCGGUCUAAAUCCUAUGACGCAGGGGUCUGGGCCCAUCGCCCAUUGCACACCUGCACGUUGCGUACGCGGCCGGUGAGCAGACCUAGCAACCUCCAUUACAAAGGAAGUUGCGUUACGCGGUCCAACCCGGCGCGCGCCACUCAGUUGCUGACGUCACGAAGGCUUUGGCUGAUACCACGACGUCGAGUGCCCAUAACUGUCCCCGCGUAGAUGGUUAGUGCGUAUAGGCCAGUAGCCAGACUCAGAUCAAAUACCAUGAUCUCGUUAAACGUGUUAAGUAUCCGCAAACGUCGACCAGGGCCAGGCCCACCUCUCUCCUAGGUGGUCUCAACCUGCCCUGUCGCUCCGCCACAAAGUAACAGUCGGGGGCCGUCGGGAACCCAGGCUCACCUCUACCGGGAUGGAGCCACCUGCCCCUUCAGCCCCCAUCUCCGAACAGUAUCACAGGUAAUGUAACUGUGUAAAGUAUAUCGUAUAUGCCAGUGAUCACCUCCCGAAGUGAUCACGGCCCAGUAGUAUAGCAUGGCAGACGGAUAAGAGUGUAGGGCCACUGAUGGAGCACUAGCAUCCUAUACUAAGCAGUAGGAUAGCAGGUAAUGGUAACAACAGUAGUAGCAAGGACAGGCUAUGCAUCAGGAUAGGAAUAACGGAAAGCAGUAACAUGCUACACUACUCUAAUGCAAGCAGUAUAGAGAAAAGAGUAGGCGAUAUCUGGUGAUCAAAGGGGGGGCUUGCCUGGUUGCUCUGGCAAGAGAGAGGGGUCGUCGAUGUAGUCGUACUGGGUAGCAGCGGCGUCGGUCUCGGUGUCUAGCGAGAGAAGAGGGGGAAGAAACAAUAAAUAUAAUGCAAGCAUAUGCAUAGUGAUGCAUGACAUGACAAGUAACGGCGUUAGAGGUGCCCUAACGCGGUAGUAGGUGAUACCGGUGAAGGGGGAUGACAUCCGGGAAAGUAUCCCCGGUGUUUCGCGUUUUCGGACCGGUGAACCGAAGGGGGAAAGUUGCGAGUUCGAUAGGUUAGGGAUGCGUGGCGGACGAACGGGCUGCGUAUCCGGGUUCGUCUCGUCGUUCUGAGCAACUUUCACGUACAAAGUUUUUUCAUCUGAGGUACGGUUUACUUUAUAUUAAAUUUUAAAGCUUUAAAUGAUUUUUUUUUAGUUCUGAAUUUAUUAUAAUCCGAAAAUAAAAUAGGAUAUACUUUCUAUACCCAUCGUGGGCUAGCCACAGUGGAUGACAGGUGGGACCAAGGGGUCCAGUUGACUCAGUCAACACUCUAGUCAACGGUCAAUUAUUUGACUGUUAACUUGUCAAAACUGCAGAUCGGGCCCAGGCGUCAUUGACACAUAUACAACAAUUUCGUUUAAGUGGAUAAUUAGAGGGGGUCCACCUAUCAUUGACUAGUAUUUUAAUAGGUUUAUUUAACUAGUUAAUUUAGAAGUGGGGAUCCACAUGUCAUCUACUAUUAGACUAAUUAACUACUACUCCUACUAAUUAAACUACUCCUAACUAGCAUGACCGGCCACACACGGCUGUGGCACAGCUGGCCACACACACCACACAUGCACUACACACACACGCGCUGUACACACAACACAUGCAUACAUAGUGCUAGGGGUUAAUUCUGUUCUCUAUUUAGAAAAGAUAGCAUUUUGUGAUUUUUAUAGGAAUUAAUCCAUGCAUCAAAUUGAUUUGGUCCAAUGGAAACAUUUGAGCUUUGACAAGUGUACUACCUAGAAAUAUUAUUCUUGCUCCUGUUAACAGUGUUUAGCCACAGUUUAGGGGCUGUUUAGAGGGCUAGUCAGUGUAGAAAUAGAAAGCUAACUAGUAAUAGCUACAGUAGGUAGUAGCAAUAGUAGAUUCAGUAGAGCAGCAGCGGCAUGCAUACGAGCUGGGCGCGGGGCGCGGCGCUGCAUGGUGACAAGCGGCGGCAGCCGCGCGUGGGCGUGGCCUGGCUACGACGGGGCACACACGCAGGCGGGCGGAGGCGUACGCCGGCGCGGGAAGUGGCAGCAGCAUCAGCAAAUCAGCAACAACAGCGGAGCUAGCAGGGAGCAGGAACAGAGUUUUAGCGGCAGCAACGGCAACACAUGAGGCAGCGGCCACGAGCAGCAGCAGUUGCGAGGCGCGCGGCAAGAGCAGCAGUAGACGCAGGCGGGCGCGGCGCGGCCGCGCGUGGCGGCAGCAGGAGCAGCGCGAGCAAAUACUCACGCACGUAUGUACGCGUACAAGCGGACUCGGAUGAGCUCGGGACAGCAAACGGCGACCAAAUCAAGGCUGAGGAAGGGGGAAUCCGGAGGAGAAGCUCACCAAGGAGCCGGGGACGUGGUCGGGGAGGCUGGGGACGGUCGGGGUCGAGCGAAUCGACGACGGCGGCCGUCGGUGCAGGAUGUCGAAGACGAGAUCGAUGGCGGCAAAUCGGUGCGGCUCCGCUCGAUUUGACGCUCUGGAUGGACGAGGUCGACGAUGGCGAUCCUCCUGAACUCGUCGGUGCGGCGAGCGGUGGCCGGUGGCCGCGGGCUUGACGACGGCGUGGUGACGUCCCGCCCGGCCGUCAAAACAGAGAGAGGGGGAGGGGUGAGCGAGAGGCUGUGGGGAGAGCGCGAGCGAGGGGGGUCGGGGGCUAGGGUUAGAGGGAGGGGCACCGGGGUCUUGUAGGCCGGGGUCGCCGGCCGGAUGGCCGCCACGACGUCGGCCGGUG
Molecule: long non-coding RNA, 3409 nt
Filed under: Triticum aestivum (bread wheat)
Lineage: Eukaryota; Viridiplantae; Streptophyta; Magnoliopsida; Poales; Poaceae
Description: long non-coding RNA (TAES_LNC014973)
Source: RNAcentral